UUUUGGACAAUGGGCGCAAGCCUGAUCCAGCCAUGCCGCGUGAGUGAAGAAGGCCUUCGGGUUGUAAAGCUCUUUCGGCGGGGACGAAACGGUUCGUGCUAAUACCACGGACUACUGACGGUACCCGCAGAAGAAGCACCGGCUAACUACGUGCCAGCAGCCGCGGUAAUACGUAGGGUGCAGGCGUUAAUCGGAAUUACUGGGCGUAAAGUGUGCGCAGGCGGUUUGUUAAGACAGGUGUGAAAUCCCCGGGCUUAACCUGGAAUUGCGCUUGUAACUGGCAGACUGGAGUGUGGCAGAGGGGGGUGGAAUUCCAAGUGUAGCAGUGAAAUGCGUAGAUAUUUGGAGGAACACCGAUGGCGAAGGCAGCCCCCUGGGCUAACACUGACGCUCAUGCACGAAA
This 403-nucleotide ribosomal RNA is filed under the name uncultured bacterium. RNAcentral describes it as "bacterial SSU rRNA". It matches the Rfam family "Bacterial small subunit ribosomal RNA", at positions 362 to 758 of the family's 1533-position model. The record is from RNAcentral.